RNAcentral lists this small nuclear RNA (22 nucleotides) under Arabidopsis thaliana (thale cress). RNAcentral's name for it is "snRNA_00089". Lineage: Eukaryota; Viridiplantae; Streptophyta; Magnoliopsida; Brassicales; Brassicaceae. The record is from RNAcentral.
AUGACAAGUGACAAUGAGGGGU